RNAcentral lists this long non-coding RNA (1303 nucleotides) under Macaca fascicularis (crab-eating macaque). Its description in RNAcentral is "lncRNA (ENSMFAG00000053309.1)". The record is from RNAcentral. Lineage: Eukaryota; Metazoa; Chordata; Mammalia; Primates; Cercopithecidae.
UGGGGUUCACAAGAUGUGGGGCAUCACUGUUAAGGGAAAAGGCUGCACCCAAGCUCAGGUUCCCAUGGGACUGGCGCCUUCUUCAUCACAGGAGUGGAGAUUUUUAACAUUCCAUGGACAGCUGGCAUUUCCAGACAACUCCUGUAAACCAUUGGCACUCCAAAUCCAACUGCCUGUUGCUCAGCAUCUUGUGUAUUCCCCCAUUGACGAGACUUCUUCAAGCUUGCCCUAUAGAAAGGGAGACUAGGAGGAGGACGUGCUCUUCUGAAACCGAACAGUGUUGUGGGCCUUGGCUCACCUCUCCAUGGGAUAACAUGAGGAUGGUACCUUCUUUUUUCCUGGCCCUGUAAAUUUGUAUUUCCUCCAGUGAAGCUCAUUCCUUAGCCCAUGCUAUGUAGCUUUGUGGAUUCACCCUGAAGGGUGGUGUAUGACAGCUGAUGACCCAGAAGACCCAUCUUGCAUGCCAAUGGAGACCUAGCACAACAGCUCCUAAUUGAUCUCCCUGCAUCCAUGUUGAUUCUCUUCAAUUGUAGUCUUCAUCUUGCGGCUAGAAUGGGCCUGUCUAAACAGACUUGCCCACCUUCCUCCCACAACCCAAUUGAAAACACAAUAGCUCCCCAUUGGUCUUAAGACAUACCAAAAUACCCAAAUCUUUAAUAUGGUUUAAUGAAACCUUACUUCCCACCAUUCGUCCCUCUCUAGACUGCGGCCAUUUUCUCAGUCACUUGUAGUAACCGCAUUUCCUCCUGCCCUUGAGCAUGUCCUGUUCCCUUUGUCUGAAAGACCUUGCUUUGCUUAAUUAACUCCAGCUCCUAGUCAUGUUCCCAAAACACUAAACUCAGUUGAAAUUUUACAUUUUAUCUGUAUGAUUAUUUGGUAACUGUUUUCCACGCUAGACUGUAAGAUCCACAGAUCUCUUUUAAACCAGUAGCCUAGUUUAUAUUCAAAGUGCCUAGCAUAAAGUGGGUGCUUAAUGAAAUUAGUUGAACACAUUUUUAGGUAUAAUGUAGAAAGAAGCCAGGAUCCAAAUACCACAUACUCUAUAAUUAAAUAAAAUGUCUGGAGAAGGCAAAUCUACAAAGACCGAAAGAUGAUGGUGGUUGCCAGGGGCUAAGGUUGGCAACAGAGUGCUUAUAAACUGGCAUGAGGAAUUUUAUUGAGGUUAUGGAAAUGUUCUAAAACUGCACAACUCAGUAAAUUUACUAAAAAUCAUUGUAUUGUACAUUUUAAAUGGGUGACUUUUAUGGUAUGUAAAUUAUACUUCAAAAGUGUUUAAAAAUAAAAACUUGACUGAAUGAAAAAA